UGAGGAAUAUUGGUCAAUGGACGAGAGUCUGAACCAGCCAUGCCGCGUGAAGGAUGAAGGCGUUCUGCGUCGUAAACUUCUUUUGCGGGGGAAGAAACCUUGAUAUUCUUAUCAAGCCGACGGUACCCCGAGAAUAAGCACCGGCUAACUCCGUGCCAGCAGCCGCGGUAAUACGGAGGGUGCAAGCGUUAUCCGGAUUUAUUGGGUUUAAAGGGUCCGUAGGCGGGCCGAUAAGUCAGUGGUGAAAUCUCAUAGCUUAACUAUGAAACUGCCAUUGAUACUGUCGGUCUUGAGUAAAUUAGAGGUAGCUGGAAUAAGUAGUGUAGCGGUGAAAUGCAUAGAUAUGACCCGGAACACCGAUUGCGAAGGCAGCCCACUAAGCAAUGAUUGACGCUGAGGCACGAAAGCGUGGGGAUCAAACA
Molecule: ribosomal RNA, 422 nt
Filed under: uncultured bacterium
Lineage: Bacteria
Description: bacterial SSU rRNA
Rfam family: Bacterial small subunit ribosomal RNA
Source: RNAcentral